GUCUACGGCCAUACCACCCUGAACGCACCUGAUCUCUUCUGAUCUCGAAAGCUAAGCAGGGUAGGGCCUGGUUAGUGCUUGGAUGGGAGACAGUGAGGAAACCCAGAAAGGCCUAUCUG
Molecule: ribosomal RNA, 119 nt
Filed under: Propithecus coquereli (Coquerel's sifaka)
Lineage: Eukaryota; Metazoa; Chordata; Mammalia; Primates; Indriidae
Source: RNAcentral